GCAAAAGUAAAUAUAUUCAUUCGUAUAAGUUGCAAAUAUGGUGCGGCGUCUCUACAACUAACCGUAAAUUAGUUUCUAUGAAAAAGAUAAAAGGGAUU
This 98-nucleotide non-coding RNA is filed under the name Cetobacterium somerae. Its description in RNAcentral is "Guanine sequence". It matches the Rfam family "Purine riboswitch aptamer". From Rfam's summary of the family: Riboswitches are metabolite binding domains within certain messenger RNAs that serve as precision sensors for their corresponding targets. RNAcentral also lists the same sequence under 1 other name. Lineage: Bacteria; Fusobacteriati; Fusobacteriota; Fusobacteriia; Fusobacteriales; Fusobacteriaceae. The record is from RNAcentral.